GAAUCUUGCGCAAUGGGCGAAAGCCUGACGCAGCAACGCCGCGUGGGGGACGAAGGCCCUCGGGUCGUAAACCCCUUUUGCGAAGGAAGAAGUUCUGACGGUACUUCGCGAAUAAGACACGGCUAACUACGUUCCAGCAGCCGCGGUAAUACGUAGGUGUCAAACGUUGUCCGGAUUUAUUGGGCGUAAAGCGCCCGCAGGCGACUCUGCAAGUUCCAAGUGAAAUCUCCCGGCUCAACUGGGAGGGGUCUUGGAAAACUGCAGGGCUUGAGGCAGGGAGAGGGAUGCGGAAUUCCAGGUGUAGCGGUGGAAUGCGUAGAUAUCUGGAGGAACACCAGUGGCGAAGGCGGCAUCCUGGCCCUGUCCUGACGCUGAGGGGCGAAAGCGUGGGGAGCAAACCGG
Molecule: ribosomal RNA, 402 nt
Filed under: uncultured bacterium
Lineage: Bacteria
Description: bacterial SSU rRNA
Rfam family: Bacterial small subunit ribosomal RNA
Source: RNAcentral